UACAGAGGGCGCGAGCGUUGUCCGGAAUCACUGGGCGUAAAGGGCGCGUAGGUGGCGACAUAAGGCUGUGGUGAAAGUCUGGGGCUCAACUCCAGAUCGGCCGUGGCAACUGUGUCGCUAGGGCACCGUAGAGGCAGAUGGAAUUCCGGGUGUAGCGGUGGAAUGCGUAGAGAUCCGGAAGAACACCAGUGGCGAAGGCGGUCUGCUGGGCGGUGAGCCGUGAGGCUCAAUAGCCGACACUGAGGCGCGACAGCGUGGGGAGCAAACAGG
This 270-nucleotide ribosomal RNA is filed under the name uncultured bacterium. RNAcentral's name for it is "partial 16S ribosomal RNA". It matches the Rfam family "Bacterial small subunit ribosomal RNA", at positions 524 to 776 of the family's 1533-position model. The record is from RNAcentral.